Molecule: ribosomal RNA, 427 nt
Filed under: uncultured bacterium
Lineage: Bacteria
Description: partial 16S ribosomal RNA
Rfam family: Bacterial small subunit ribosomal RNA
Source: RNAcentral
UGGGGAAUAUUGCACAAUGGGAGCAAGCCUGAUGCAGCCAUGCCGCGUGUAUGACGAAGGCCUUCGGGUUGUAAAGUACUUUCAGCGGGGAGGAAGGUGUUGAGGCUAAUAACCUCAGCAAUUGACGUUACCCGCAGAAGAAGCACAGGCUAACUCCGUGCCAGCAGCCGCGGUAAUACGGAGGGUGCAAGCGUUAAUCGGAAUUACUGGGCGUAAAGCGCACGCAGGCGGUCUGUCAAGUCGGAUGUGAAAUCCCCGGGCUCAACCUGGGAACUGCAUUCGAAACUGGCAGGCUAGAGUCUUGUAGAGGGGGGUAGAAUUCCAGGUGUAGCGGUGAAAUGCGUAGAGAUCUGGAGGAAUACCGGUGGCGAAGGCGGCCCCCUGGACAAAGACUGACGCUCAGGUGCGAAAGCGUGGGGAGCAAACA